GGUUGCACAACUCAGUAAUCCAAACCUGCUCAGGAGUCACAAGCAAAAACCAGAGGUCAAGUGUAAAGUUUGCAGUAGAGUCUUCUCCCUUACAGUGUGUUUUAGUUUGGACAGAAGCUGCAGAAAACAUGCAGAAGGUUUUUCAGCUCCGUGCGGCUCUGCUGCUCGUUCUGUGGAUCUCCUUAGUUGUGCCACCGUGUCACUCUAAUGCUCCAAGUGCUCCCGAGUACUGCUGCCUUCAAUUCUUCAGAAUCCCAGUGAACAAAAAUCUCGUCUCUUCAUAUUACUUAACUGAUCCUCGCUGCCCCAUAAGUGCAGUUGUCUUAAUAACAAGCAGGGCACGCAGGAUCUGUGUGGAUGGACAGCAACUGUGGGUGAAGAAAAUUAUUGAGCAUCUGGAGAACAUAUCCCGUUAAAGGAUCUGCCGUCUGUUCUGCUUCAUCAGAUCAUGUGAAGAACAAUAAAGCACAUGUGGAAAAGUGA
Long non-coding RNA from Xiphophorus maculatus (southern platyfish), 483 nucleotides. RefSeq lists it as uncharacterized. NCBI's taxonomy places the organism in Eukaryota, Metazoa, Chordata, Actinopteri, Cyprinodontiformes, Poeciliidae. The transcript has 3 exons. The record is from RefSeq and is a predicted model, not a curated record.